This 253-nucleotide ribosomal RNA is filed under the name uncultured bacterium. RNAcentral's name for it is "partial 16S ribosomal RNA". It matches the Rfam family "Bacterial small subunit ribosomal RNA", at positions 524 to 776 of the family's 1533-position model. The record is from RNAcentral.
UACAGGGGGGGCAAGCGUUGUUCGGAAUUACUGGGCGUAAAGGGCUCGUAGGCGGCCGACUAAGUCCGACGUGAAAUCCCAAAGCUUAACUUUGGAACUGCGUCGGAUACUGGAUGGCUUGAAUUCGGGAGAGGGAUGCAGAAUUCCAGGUGUAGCGGUGAAAUGCGUAGAUAUCCGGAGGAACACCGGUGGCGAAGGCGGCUUCCUGGACCGACACUGACGCUGAGGCGCGAAAGCUAGGGGAGCAAACGGG